GUGAUGAUGUCAAUGUCGUCAACAAUUAUGUGCAAUCUGGACGGCGGGGCAGUCCUUUGUAAGCUGUAUGCUGAAAAGGUCGAAAAGUUGUUUAACACACUGUGACAAUUUAACGUAAUUCUGUGAUUUUUUUUGUUAAUUUUUUUUUUUGUAUGAAA
Long non-coding RNA from Bradysia coprophila, 158 nucleotides. NCBI's taxonomy places the organism in Eukaryota, Metazoa, Arthropoda, Insecta, Diptera, Sciaridae. The record is from RefSeq and is a predicted model, not a curated record.